GACCGCUCGGCCACUUCCGUCCAGAAGUCUCGCCGCCUCUUGCUCCGGUCGGCGUCUGCUGCCUCCGUCGAGCGGCCGCUGCUCCGGACCUUGGCACCAGUAUACCUCCUUACAUCUCUCUUUCUCGCACCGCCCUCAGCCGAGGAGUCCGCUGCCGCAGCUCCGGAAUCCGGCAAAUCAGUCGGCGCCUUCUCCUUCUCACACCUCUAUUCUCCGUCUCGAUUCACGGACGAAGGCAAAAUGAAAAGAGAGCCCUGAUUUCCUCCCCAAAUCAGAGAGCGCCGCCGCCGCUGCAACUAGAAGGCUGGCGAAGAUCUGGUGCAACCGCCGCCGUCCGCCGACACGCCUGGAAGCUCUAUCGCCGGACGUCGCCGCUGCUGAGGUAACGCCGCCGCCCGGAGUUGCAGCUGCCUUGCCCGGAAUCGAGGUCGCUGGUCUGAUCUCCAGCAGCCCGCCUCGCUCAGAGCCACCGCCGCCGUCGUCAACUGGAGUCUCAGCGGCCACGGUCUCUCUUGGAUCCGCCGGCGUCGUUGUUGUUCCAGAGUUGACGAGGGACGACAGAUAGCUUCUGCCGACAGCGGCCAGUUCGUUGGAGCUGCCCUUCCCCGGAGUCCGACUCGUUCUCCUCCUUUCUUAAAGCUAAGUUUUUCUUCUAAUGCAAUCUAUGUUUCGGUUAUGCAACUAGUAGGCAUUGGUUAAGAAUUGUUGUGGUUUCGCUACUGUCUGGGAAGGUUCUCUAAGAUAGCUGUUGAGAAAUCCUCAGUGCAUCUAUCAUGAUACGAAGUCUCUAAAUGUCUUAUGCCUUUUAUGAAACACGUAUGUAUAACUUUCUACUUGAUGCAUAAAGAAACUGAGAUAAGUAUGAAUAAUGUUUGAGUAACUGAACUGGAAAAUACCUUGAUGUAUAAAUGUUGGUUGGCUGUUGUUGCUGAGUUAAAUGAGCUGGAAUGACUGAACUGAAUAGAUCGAAUGUUGUUGUUUUAGUAAUUGCAGUUGGUUAAUGGAAGGAGAUGGAAC
RNAcentral lists this long non-coding RNA (1017 nucleotides) under Salvia miltiorrhiza (redroot sage). RNAcentral describes it as "long non-coding RNA (SMIL_LNC009887)". The record is from RNAcentral. Lineage: Eukaryota; Viridiplantae; Streptophyta; Magnoliopsida; Lamiales; Lamiaceae.